RNAcentral lists this long non-coding RNA (777 nucleotides) under Carica papaya (papaya). RNAcentral's name for it is "long non-coding RNA (CPAP_LNC007759)". The record is from RNAcentral. Lineage: Eukaryota; Viridiplantae; Streptophyta; Magnoliopsida; Brassicales; Caricaceae.
AGCAGCCACGUCAACAGCCCGGUCAGCAGCCCUGACCAACCAGGUCACGUCGCGUGGCAGAGACGCUGACGCGGGAGGCCACGCAGAACGGAGCCACGUGGGCGAUCCACGUGCACGCGAUUGGAUGGCUGAGAUCCGUUCUUGCGUGCACGAACAGCCCAGAUCAAACACGCAUGCGGACGGCCUAGAUUGCACGCGUGCGGACGGUUCAGAUUGAAUCACGCACGGACAGCCCAGAUCACACCGUGAUGGACGGCCCAGAUUCAUUUCAAAUUUAAUUGCGAUCGGACGGUCCAGAUUAAAUCGUGAUGAAUGACUAAGAUUAAAAGGGGAAGGUUAUAAAUAAUCUCAUCCACACCGAACUCCAAACCCUAGCUGCCAGAGCUCUCGCCAAAGAAGACAGCCCAGCCAUCGGAGGAACCGACCGCUGCCACCCGCUGUAGCACCAGAACACUUUUCGGCCGCCAAACGAGGUAAAAAAAUUUCUUUUGGCUUGGAUUUUGAUGCUAAACCUGCCUGUGGCCAAAUCGAAGCCAAACCACCGGCCAAUUGGUCAGAAAAUGCUGCUGAAGCCCAGCGGCGCCGCCGCGGGUUUCCUCGAUUUUUGCCUUCAAUGAGGCUCUUCCCGAUUCCCGUUCAAUGUAAUUUUUACACCACUGUGACUACCAUCCUUUCUUCUACAGGUUGACCGAAGCAAAAAAUCAAAUCGCGACUUACGACAGAGGAUCCACCGCACCCAAGAGCUCCGCCACCGGUAGGUCUAAAUUUUUUUUAGUU